This 481-nucleotide ribosomal RNA is filed under the name uncultured bacterium. RNAcentral describes it as "partial 16S ribosomal RNA". It matches the Rfam family "Bacterial small subunit ribosomal RNA", at positions 28 to 507 of the family's 1533-position model. The record is from RNAcentral.
GACGAACGCUGGCGGCGUGCUUAACACAUGCAAGUCGAACGGGAUCCGGGCUUUCGGGUUUGGUGAGAGUGGCGAACGGGUGAGUAACACGUGAGUAACCUGCCCCCUUCUUUGGGAUAACGUCGGGAAAUCGGCGCUAAUACUGGAUAUUCUUGCUGCAUCGCAUGGUGUGGUUUGGAAAGGGUUUCUGGUGGGGGAUGGGCUCGCGGCCUAUCAGCUUGUUGGUGGGGUGAUGGCCUACCAAGGCUUUGACGGGUAGCCGGCCUGAGAGGGUGUCCGGCCACACUGGGACUGAGACACGGCCCAGACUCCUACGGGAGGCAGCAGCGGGGAAUAUUGCACAAUGGGCGCAAGCCUGAUGCAGCGACGCCGCGUGAGGGAUGACGGCCUUCGGGUUGUAAACCUCUUUCAGUAUGGAACAAGGAUCCUUCUUUUGGGGGGUUUGAGGGUACGUGCAGAAGAAGCGCCGGCUAACUACGUG